GGGGGUGAAGCUCAGUGGUAGAGCAUCUGAUUGGAAUUCAGAAGGCCCCAGGUUCGAUCCCUGGUAUCUGUA
This is a non-coding RNA of Sphaerodactylus townsendi, 72 nucleotides long. The record is from the annotation of a RefSeq genome assembly. NCBI's taxonomy places the organism in Eukaryota, Metazoa, Chordata, Lepidosauria, Squamata, Sphaerodactylidae.